GAUGAACGCUGGCGGCGUGCCUAAUACAUGCAAGUCGAGCGAACAGACGAGGAGCUUGCUUCUCUGACGUUAGCGGCGGACGGGUGAGUAACACGUGGAUAACCUACCUAUAAGACUGGGAUAACUUCGGGAAACCGGAGCUAAUACCGGAUAAUAUGUUGAACCGCAUGGUUCAACAGUGAAAGACGGUUUUGCUGUCACUUAUAGAUGGAUCCGCGCUGCAUUAGCUAGUUGGUAAGGUAACGGCUUACCAAGGCAACGAUGCGUAGCCGACCUGAGAGGGUGAUCGGCCACACUGGAACUGAGACACGGUCCAGACUCCUACGGGAGGCAGCAGUAGGGAAUCUUCCGCAAUGGGCGAAAGCCUGACGGAGCAACGCCGCGUGAGUGAAGAAGGUCUUCGGAUCGUAAAACUCUGUUAUUAGGGAAGAACAAAUGUGUAAGUAACUAUGCACGUCUUGACGGUACCUAAUCAGAAAGCCACGGCUAACUACGUG
This 497-nucleotide ribosomal RNA is filed under the name uncultured bacterium. RNAcentral's name for it is "partial 16S ribosomal RNA". It matches the Rfam family "Bacterial small subunit ribosomal RNA", at positions 28 to 507 of the family's 1533-position model. The record is from RNAcentral.